AGUGGCGGACGGGUGAGUAACAUUUAGGAAUCUAUCUAGUAGUGGGGGAUAGCUCGGGGAAACUCGAAUUAAUACCGCAUACGACCUACGGGUGAAAGGGGGCGCAAGCUCUUGCUAUUAGAUGAGCCUAAAUCAGAUUAGCUAGUUGGUGGGGUAAAGGCCCACCAAGGCGACGAUCUGUAACUGGUCUGAGAGGAUGAUCAGUCACACCGGAACUGAGACACGGUCCGGACUCCUACGGGAGGCAGCAGUGGGGAAUAUUGGACAAUGGGGGCAACCCUGAUCCAGCCAUGCCGCGUGUGUGAAGAAGGCCUUUUGGUUGUAAAGCACUUUAAGCAGGGAGGAGAGGCUAAUGGUUAAUACCCAUUAGAUUAGACGUUACCUGCAGAAUAAGCACCGGCUAACUCUGUGCCAGCAGCCGCGGUAAUACAGAGGGUGCGAGCGUUAAUCGGAAUUACUGGGCGUAAAGCGAGUGUAGGUGGCUCAUUAAGUCACAUGUGAAAUCCCCGGGCUUAACCUGGGAACUGCAUGUGAUACUGGUGGUGCUAGAAUAUGUGAGAGGGAAGUAGAAUUCCAGGUGUAGCGGUGAAAUGCGUAGAGAUCUGGAGGAAUACCGAUGGCGAAGGCAGCUUCCUGGCAUAAUAUUGA
This 648-nucleotide ribosomal RNA is filed under the name uncultured bacterium. Its description in RNAcentral is "bacterial SSU rRNA". It matches the Rfam family "Bacterial small subunit ribosomal RNA", at positions 94 to 743 of the family's 1533-position model. The record is from RNAcentral.